AAUAAAAAUAAAAGGAGAAAAUUGAAAAACUUUAAAAAUAAUAUAAAAGUUAUUUCUCACUCUAUACUGUCACACCUUUCAGUGGAUUACUCUCUCGCCGCGCAUGUUUUUGUGAAAUUUAUGGCACAACCAUCCUCGCUGGUAACUUCCUCCAACGACUUCCCCACCACUUUCGUAAACAUAAAAGUUGAAAUAAAACCCAAAAUACAUUUGUAAAAGCCAAAAACCAUCAAGAUGUACUUAAUCCUACUCACCUUCUUAUCCAAUGUGUAAGACUACAAAACAAAACCAGCCACAAUCAACCUGACUUUUCUUGCAACGGCACUCAAUGCAUGACACGUUGACCUCAGUCGGGCCAGGAAAAGCUCCCCGGGCCAGAUGAAAGUUGUCGUAUUGGGCCCAAAGUUCCCAAAGACGAACCAAAGUUCAGAUAACACGGUGAACAAUCUCUUGGUAAUAUGCCACAAAUACUCGUACUUAAUUCCCAUAACCAACAAAAACGUCAAUAUCAUGAAAAAUCCCAUUAACUGAAUCACGUAUUAACCCAACUUCUCGAUGAACGUGAUUUUGAACUAACAUCCGGGGAAAGUAUCUAAUAAUGCAACGACGAACAUGGCGCAUUAGGAGAUCAACAGAGGAAACGUGACAAGAAAAUUAUGGGAUCUUUUGAACAACUCAAAAGAGGUUCUCAACAUUGUUUAGCCACAUAAGGAGUUUAGUCGUACAAUUUCUGCUAAAUUUAGUUAUUCAAUAAAUUAUUAGUAGCAAAAUGAAACUUUUAAAAGACUUGUGGAUUUGGAAUACCUUCAAAGUCCAGGAGAAGAAGACAACUUGUCUGGCAACUGACAAUGGUUUAUUGGGAGUCCUACCAAUAACAGACCAAUGGAAAAUUUUAAUGUCUAGUCAGGGAAUGAAAAACAACCGUUGCUAAGAAAGAUUGAUAGAGUGAAGAACUCAAAUCUAUAAACUUAAAUGGUAUAUGUAACAUAGUGGAACAAGUAUGAAGUGAAUGAAGAAAAUUAGGAUUUUAAUGGGAGGAAUGCAGGAAAGAAUAGUGUUUGCUGUUAUAUCUCUGUUGUUACAUUCCCUUAUUUUUCAUCCACAUCACCGUGCUUCUACACUAACAACAGCUCAACAAUGAGUUCGAUUGUUCAGGAUCCACCGAAUUUGGGGUUCGGAUCGAGUGGACAAUGGUGAAUCAAGCAAUAGCAUGUAGUUUUUUGUCGUUGCCAUUUAUCAACAUGUGAAGAGACCACCAUGCAAAAUUGACUCUGAUUUUUUGUGGGGUUUUUUUUUUCAGCUCUACUAUAAUAAGAUGUACUUAAAGAACACAACACAAAUCUACGAAUUGGGGUUGUUUAUUACAAAACUCAGAAUUCGGUACGGGGAACGAUUUUCUACUUCAUUUCUUCUUUUUUGAUCAUUUGAUUCAUUAAGAAUGUUAUUCACUCCAUUUAUCAGUUUGCGAAACGUGUACAAUUCUUAAAAACUGAGUACAUGUCAAAAACCUAAUACAAAACAUUGUCACGUAAAGAUUUCAAAAACAUAAUUCCAACAAAGAUGGUCUAGUGGGCGAAUUUUGUUUUUGGAAUCUUAACUCUAGUGAGAGGAAAAAACCUGCUUGAAAAAUUUAGCUCGACAUAAAUGGUUUGGCCAAUGGAAUUUCUAUUUGAUCAUAAAAAAGUUUGCAUUUGCUCCUUUUAAGACAAGGGUAUUGAGUGGAAAUUUUAAUUGAAAAGAUAUGGAUAUUAUAUUCUUGUUAGAGAUGGAUUUAUAUUUUCAUAUGAAAAAAAUAAAUUUUCGGGCGAAGAGAUCAAAAUAAACAUGAAACUCUUAACUUUCUUAUUUAGAAAUAAAAUUCUAAAUUUGUAUGAAAUUUUUAGAGACAGAAUUAAACAUAGAUUAACUUAUGAUUGUAAGUGACUACUAAAGUACAAGGUUUCUCGACCCAAGUUGAGAGAGAACCAAUGGACCAUGCAUCUUUAAUUAGCUUACAACAACUAUUAUCUAACUCCGGAAUGACACAAUCAAAAGGAUCGCCUUAACACCUCUUCAAAUGAAAAAUAAUAUAGCAAGUACUCAAUUUUGACCAUGGAUGAAUUGUAUAAUACAUGAAUAGAUGAUUAAGGGGUUGGGGCAUGACAAGUAUAUUGAUACUUAGUAGAGUGUUUCUUGGUUAAUGAAUUGUAGUAAAAAUUAUAUGAAAUUGCAUGAAUUGGAUAAUCAUAGACACCCAACUGGUCAUACACAUUGUAAUGAACAAAAUCAAAUAAUUAUAAAAAUUUACUUAUGAUGAAAGUAAACCAAUCACUAUACCUCAUAAAUUUGAAGUCAAGUUGUAAAUCAAUGAAUAAUUUUAUCUUUCCGAAGCCUUCCAUUCCAACUCCUAUAUGUUGGAUUUGAAAUAAUCGAAUUUGUUCAAGGAACAAACAUCAAAUCUAAAAAUGUGAGUUACAUAUCAUACCUAAAUAACUUUUCACUAGAAGAAGAGAUAAAACUUAUAUCGCAUACCUAAUUCCGCAAUGUGAUUGUCAUUCGUUUCUUCUUCCAUUCAAAAGAGCAAAUAAAUUAUUUAGCCCCAAGUACGAAGCACACCAGCGAAAAUGUUUGAAUGGAGAAAGCGUUAUUUGAUGAAUAUGAAUUAGGAGAUGGGUAUUUAUAUAAAAUUAAAUUCUAUUUUAAGAUUUCAAUCCUUCUUAAAUAUUGAUAAGCACUAAAUUCGUGAAUAAAUUUUCGAUUUGAAAUUUUCUAAACAUUGAUGUGAGCGUUUCAAAUUUAUUAUUUAUGAAAUUACUGAAAUAUUCUUAAUGAUCAAAGUACAAGGUUUCUCAAACCAAAUUAAGAGAGAACGAUAUAUAUUGUUUUUAAUUAAUUAAGAUAACACAACCUAAAUUAGAAAAAUAAAUAAAUGUGUUCACAAAUUGUUGCAACUAGAUCAAAUCGGAAACCUUUGAAUCGUCAAUAAACUAUUUCUCUUGGUGUGUUUUCCUUUACUUGUUUGGGACGGCAAGCUUGUGAGUGAUUGGUUGCAUGUUGCUUGCUAUGAAUUCUCUAUAUAGUUUGCCUUCCUAGGUCACAUUUUGAAGCAAUAGUUUUCUUUAAUAGACAUACAACCAUUUAGAUAAAAAAAUAAACGUCAAUAUAUUAUUUUACCUAAUGAGCUACAUUACUUAGAUAGAAUCAUAUAUCUCAUUUUAUAUCAUACCAUUGUUCUUUAUAUUUUUUAAAGGUGUACUCUAUGCACGGUAAAAAAAAGUGUCACACAUAAAAUAAUAAUAAAAAUAAAAGAAGCAAUUGAUAAAUUUUAAAAAUAAUAUAAAAGUUAUUUCUCACUCUAUACUGUCACACCUUCCAGCGGAUUACUCUCUCGCCGCGCAUAUUUUUUUGGAAAUUUAUGGCACAGCCAUCCUCGCUGGAAAUUUCCGCCAACGACUUCCCCACCACUUCCGACAACAUAAAAGUUGAAAUAAAACCCACAAUACAUUUGUAUAAGCGAAAACCAUCAAGAUGUACUUAAUCCUGCUUACCUUCUUAUCCAAUGUGUAAGACUGCAAAACAAAAGCAGCCACAAUCAACCUGACUUUCCUCGCAACUGCACUCAAUCCAUGACACGUGGACCUCAGUCGGGCUAGGAAAAGCUCCGCGGGCCAGAUGAAAGUAGUCGAAUUGGGCCAAAAGUUCCCAAAGACGAACCAAAGUUCAGAUUACACAGUGAACAACGCAAUCAAUGCAUGCCACAUGGACCUCAGUCGGGCCAGGAAAAGCUCCGCGGGCCAGAUGAAUGUAGUCGAAUUGGGCCCAAAGUUCCUGAAGACGAACCAAAGUUCAGAUAACACAGUGAACAAUCUCUUGCUAUCAUGCCACAAAUACUCGUACUUAAUCCCCAUAAUCAACAAAAUGUCAAUAUCAUGAAAAAUCCCAUUAACUGAAUCACGUAUUAACCCAACUUCUCGAUGAACGCGAUUUUGAACUAACAUCCGGGGAAAGUAUCUAAUAAUGCAACGACGAACAUGGCGCAUUAGGAGAUCAACAGAGGAAACAUGCGUCAAUAUCAUGAAAAAUCCCAUUAACUGAAUCAUGUAUUAACCCAACUUCUCGAUGAAUGCGAUUUUAAACUAACAUCCGGGGAAAGUCUCUAAUAAUGCAACGAUGAACAUGCACAUUGGGAGAUCAACAGAGGAAACAUGACAAGAAAAUUAUGGGAUCUUUUGAACGACUCAAAAGAGGUUUUUGUUUAGCCACAUAAGGAGUUUGGUCGUACAAUUUCUGCUAAAUUUAGUUAUUCAAUAAAUUAUUAGUAGAAAAAUGAAACUUGUUAAAAGACUUGUGGAUUUGGAAUACCUUCGAACUCCAGGUGCAGAAGACAAUUUGUCUGGUAACUGAUAAUGGUUUAUUAGGAGUCCUACCAAUAACAGACCAAUGGAAAAUUUAAAUGUCUAGUCAGGGAAUGAAAAAUAACCGUUGCUAAGAAAGAUUAAGAGAGUGAAGAACUCAACUCUAUAAACUUAUAUGGUAUACGUAACAUAGUGAAAAAAGUAUGAAGCAAAUGAAGAAAAUUAGGAUUUUAAUGGGAGGAAUGCAGGAAAGAAUAGUGUUUGCUGUUAUAUCUCUGUUGUUACAUUCCCUUAUUUUUCAUCCACAUCACCGUGCUUCUACGCUAACAACAGCUCAACAAUGAGUUCGAUUGUUGAGGAUCCACCGAAUUUUGGGGCCUCAACAAUGAGUUCGAUUAUUGAGGAUCCAUCAAAUUUUGGGGUACGGAUCGAGUGGACAAUGGUGAAUCAAGCAAUAGCAUGUGGUUUUUUGUUGUUGCCAUUUAUCAACAUGUGAAGAGACAACCAUGCAAAAUUGACUCUGAUUUUUUGUGGGGUUUUUUACCAGUUCUACUAUAGUAAAAUGUACUUACAGAUCACAACACAAAUCUACGAAUUGGGGUUGUCUAUUACAAAAACCUAAUACAACACAGUGUAACGAGAGAUUUCAAAAACAUAAUUCCAACAAAGAUGGUCUAGUAGGCGAAUUUUGUUUUUCGAAUCCUAACUCUAAUGAGUGGAAAAAACUUGCUUGAAAAAUUCAGCUUGACAUAAAUGGUUUGGCCAAUGGAGUUUCUAUUUGAUCUUUAAAAAGUUUGAAUUUGCUCCUUUUAAGACGAGGGUAUUGAGUGGAAAUUUUAAUUGAAAAGAUACGGAUAUUAGAUUCUAGUUAGAGAUGGAUUUAUAUUUUCAUAUGAAAAAAAUAAAUUUUCGGGCGAAGAGAUCAAAAUAAACAUGAAACUCUUAACUUUCUUAUUUAGAAAUAAAAUUCUAAAUUUGUAUGAAAUUUUUAGAGACAGAAUUAAACAUAGAUUAACUUAUGAUUGUAAGUGACUACUAAAGUACAAGGUUUCUCGACCCAAUUUGAGAGAGAACCAAUGGACCAUGCGUCUUUAAUUAGCUUACAACAACUAUUAUCUAACUCCUGAAUGACACAAUCAAAAGGAUCGCCUUAACACCUCUUCAUGCUACCAGGAGCUAUGCUGGAACUUGAAACAUCAUGGCUAGUGUUAAGCGCGAAACCCAUGACGAACCAAAUGUCCUCAGUCUAAUAGUAGCAAAAACAAUGAAACUUUGUAUGAUGCUUCCAGAUCAUCAGUGAAAUUGCUUGAAAGUCAGCUCACACCUACACACAUGCACAAUCAUUAUGCAUGUCUAAAUUAUUUACACUCAAGCUAACCAAAUCAACAAUAUUGAAAUCCUAUACUAUUUGAAACAUACCAUUCUUAUUAUUAUCAACAUCAACUGUGGUACCCUUGCUAACCAGUCCCGUAAAAGCCUCAAUCCGGCAACUCUAAUCAAUGCAAAAAAUAGGUUUCCUUACCCAUAAUUAAAUACAAAGAAAAAUACUAAAAUUUUAAAACAUGUAUAAUCUAAUAGCAUCAGUAAGAACGGCUACUGCAUUACAUACCAUCUCCAUAGCACAUUAUGCUGUCAUGACGCUCUGGUUAAGCCUAAGACACACAAAAUUUUAGUUCUUAGAUCCAGACUGAUAAGAUAUCAGCUUUAAUAGAUGUUUUGGAUAAUACAAUUAUGAGAAAUGAGACUGAGGGCACGUCGAGUAUCCCAAUACAUAGUAGAUAGUGAUGUGAUUUUAAUGAAAAAUAAUAUAGCAAGUACUCAAUUUUGACCAUGGAUGAAUUGUAUAAUACAUGAAUAGAUGAUUAAGGGGUUGGGGCAUGACAAGUAUAUUGAUACUUAGUAGAGUGUUUCUUGGUUAAUGAAUUGUAGUAAAAAUUAUAUGAAAUUGCAUGAAUUGGAUAAUCAUAGACACCCAACUGGUCAUACACAUUGUAAUGAACAAAAUCAAAUAAUUAUAAAAAUUUACUUAUGAUGAAAGUAAACCAAUCACUAUACCUCAUAAAUUUGAAGUCAAGUUGUAAAUCAAUGAAUAAUUUUAUCUUUCCGAAGCCUUCCAUUCCAUCUCCUAUAUGUUGGAUUUGAAAUAAUCCAAUUUGUUCAAGGAACAAACAUCAAAUCUAAAAAUGUGAGUUACAUAUCAUACCUAAAUAACUUUUCACUAGAAGAAGAGAUAAAACUUAUAUCGCAUACCUAAUUCCGCAAUGUGAUUGUCAUUCGUUUCUUCUUCCAUUCAAAAGAGCAAAUAAAUUAUUUAGCCCCAAGUACGAAGCACACCAGCGACAAUGUUUGAAUGGAGAAAGCGUUCUUUGAUGAAUAUGAAUUAGGAGAUGGGUAUUUAUAUAAAAUUAAAUUCUAUUUUAAGAUUUCAAUCCUUGUUAAAUAUUGUAAUAAGCACUAAAUUCGUGAAUAAAUUUUAUAUUUGAAAUUUUCUAAACAUUGAUGUGAGCGUUUCAAAUUUAUUAUUUAUGAAAUUGCUGAAAUAUUGUUAAUGAUCAAAGUACAAGGUUUCUCAAACCAAAUUAAGAGAGAACGAUAUAUAUUGUUUUUAAUUAAUUAAGAUAACACAACCUAAAUUAGAAAAAUAAAUAAAUGUGUUCACAAAUUGUUGCAACUAGAUCAAAUCGGAAACCUUUUUUUCGUCAAUAAACUAUUUCUCUUGGUGUGUUUUCCUUUACUUGUUUGGGACGGCGAGCUUGUGAGUGUUUGGUUGCAUGUUGCUUGCUCUGAAUUCUCUAUAUAGUUUGCCUUGCUAGGUCAUAUUUUGAAGCAAUAGUUUUCUAUAAUAUACAUACAACCAUUUAGAUAAAAAAAUAAACGUCAAUAUAUUAUUUUACCUAAUGAGCUACAUUACUUAGAUAGAAUCAUAUAUCUCAUUUUAUAUUAUACCAUUGUUCUUUAUAUUUUUUAAAGGUGUACUCUAUGCGCGCCGAUAAAAAAAGUGUCACACAUAAAAUAAUAAUAAAAAUAAAAGGAGAAAAUUGAAAAACUUGAAAAAUAAUAUAAAAGUUAUUUCUCACUCUAUACUGUCACACCUUCCAGCGGAUUACUCUCUCGCCGCGCAUAUUUUUUGGAAAUUUAUGGCACAACCAUCCUCGCUGGAAAUUUCCUCUAACGACUUCCCCACCACUUCCGACAACAUAAAAGUUGAAAUAAAACCCACAAUACAU
Molecule: long non-coding RNA, 7561 nt
Filed under: Linum usitatissimum (flax)
Lineage: Eukaryota; Viridiplantae; Streptophyta; Magnoliopsida; Malpighiales; Linaceae
Description: long non-coding RNA (LUSI_LNC003478)
Source: RNAcentral